AUCCAUAGAAUACAGUAAAUCUGUAGAACUCAGUUUCUACAAGUUUUUAGAUUUAUACUAAUGUGUAGAUUUUGAUUUUUAUACGUUUUAGAUUUACAGGAAAUAUGUAGAACUCGUUUUCUACAAAUUUUUAGAUUUAUAGUAAUGUAUAGAUUUUUGAUUCUACCGGUUUUAUAUUUAAUUAUAGUAAUCUGUAGAUUUCGAUUUCUACAUAUUUUAGAGCAAUGGCUAAGCACAUAAUUUGUAUUCUAAAUAUUUAUCGAGUACAAUUAUUUACGUAGAUCAUGUAUUCUAAACAUAGUAGAUUCAAUGAAAAAAAGUGGAUUUCAUUUUUUUACUUCGUAGAAUGCCAAUUCUACUUUAUGUAAAACAUAAUUUGAAAUUAUGAUUUAAACAUUUUUAGAACUGAAAAAAUACCACUAAAUUCAUAUAUAUGGAUAUUUUAACAGCAAUUACUAUUUUUCUAAUUUUAUUUAGUUUGUAAAAGUAUUUAUUUGAUUUAUUUUCGAAAACACUAAAGAGCAUUAGACGCAAAAGUGGUACAAAAUAGAAAUUGGCCUAAUGGGAUAUAGUUAUCAUUUUUUUGGCCUAAAAGAAAAUUUCCCUAUUAUUUUUCUUUUUAAUGACUAUCUGAACUAUUAUUGAUUUGUACAUGGGUUAUUUGCAUCCGAACUUCCUUAGUACUUUCUCCGAACUUUCCAUUGCGCAAAUAUGUAUUUCUGGCUGAUGUAAGGUGGGCUUCGUUAGCAUGGCAUUGGUUGGAUCUCUACUUUGUUUUAAAAAUCAUUUUCUUAUCUGGUUGUAAAUUUUUUUUGGUGAAAAGCUAAAAUUUUCAAAUACAGAUAAAGAUGUAGACGCAAGGCCGUACCUGAAUACAAGCUUAUUAAGCAUGUGCUUUAGAAUCAGUAUAUUUAAAUAUAUUUUAGGGGAUGGUUUGAAAAAAGAUAAACUGGUUCAUUUGGCUUUGCACUAGUCGUUUGUUUAACUUGUUUAUAGGUCUGAUUUUUCUUCUAUAUCAAUUUUACCAAAUAUUAUAUUAAGGGAUAAUUUGCCUAAUAGCCAUAUAUAGUGUGUAAAUUAGGUAACUAUCAUUGAUUUUGACAUAAUUUAAUGUCAGAUAUUUACACCACUUCCCAACCGGUUUUACCCCUUCCCUUAACAAGUUCUCAGUCAACAUGUGUGAUAAGAAAUGACGUUUCAAGUUGCGAGAGUAAGAGCAUAUGGUUAAGAGUAGGUCUCUAAUAUUCUUUAUGAAAGAAAGAAGAGUCAUCUACGUUAUACAUUAAUUGACCAUAUAUAUAUGCAACGAUUAUUCUAUUCCAUAUCAGCAAAGUAUUAUAUGAUUAUGAUCUCACCCAAAACCUCUAAUACUAAACAUUAUCCAUCUCAUACCCAUAAAUUAAUACUAAACCUAAAUCCCAACUUCAACCCAAACCCACCCCAACCCCUAAAUACUAAACUUUAAAUUUUAAUCAAUAAAUCUUAAACUCAAAUAUAAACCAUAAAUCAAAUAAUAAACUCAAAACCAAAAUAAAAUGGACCAAAUAAAUAACAUAGUACAUAUUAGUUAAAUUAUUAAAUGUCAAUGAUUGCAUGGAAUAAGUUAAUGUUGACCCCAAUCAAACUCCCUCACGUUCUAAAUACUAAACCCUAAACUCUAAUCACUAAACCCUCAUCCAAAACCCUAAACCUAAAUAUAAACCCUAAACCCAAAUCACAAUACUAAAAGCACAAUAUGCUGAGAUUCUAGCAUGUCCACGUCACUUAAAAUAUUCCUCCAAUGAGAACAUUUUAUUUGUACACGUCAUCAGGCUUCAGUUAAUUAUGGGCUUCAACUUUUCGUUUUAUUUGGAGAGUUUCUCUCCUGUAAAGAUAUCCCGUAUAGCACACAAUCUACAAAACCCAUUAUAAGUCUUUUGAAAAUAUGUCAAAAAAGCCCACUACUCCCUUCUAGGUCAUUACUACUUUGCAACGCUUAUGAUCAACUCCAGUUUAUUGCUCAGAAACUCAACCAUCGUCCUUACAUCCACAACGCAGUUACUAAAUGAUUUCAAUCCAGAUCUUCUUUUUCAAUUGUUAUCAAUCGUUUCAAAUCGUUAUUGUUUCAAUUGAUAAUCAUAUUUCUCUCAGCAAUUACUAUUGCAUCGCCCAUAAUCUUCUCCGUCAGGCCAGUAUCUAUCGUGAAAAGAAGAAUGUUGUGGAAUUGUAAAUCAGGCUUCUUAGAUACUCCAGAGAUUACCAGGCACUGCUUCCACAAAAAAGGCUUAGGAGUGGGAAGGUCAAGUAUCCUUCAACGUGUUGUUUUAGUGUCGUCACCAGACAUAGUUAUAUUCUCAAAAGUGCAGUUAUUUGUACACCCUAGGUUGUGCUGUAUAAACAAUGAGCUUGGGUCUCUGAAACCAGAAUUCAGACAGGAGAAUGGAUGAACUGAAUACAGCCCACGAUGAAUCCUAUUGUGUUGGAAGUGGUUUCCUGGUGGUAUUGUAUAGUUCAGAUUACGUUCAAUGUCCUCCUGUCCACAGAGCUUUCCAGACCUGAUAUUGACAAGCCGGUAAGGCCGACAACAUCUCAAGCAACGUGCAGCAUUAAACUGACUUCAUCUUCAAUUUGUACACUGGUUCAUCAGCAUUUCCAGAAGCUGCUUUGUUCUUGGAGCCUGCUGGUAUGGUAAUGAAGAUGUAAGAAAACUUAAUAAUAUUUGAUGUUUUUUUAUACUAGAGAAUUCCGGCUUAUUCCGGCUUGUUACAAAAGUUUGGCAAUAUUGGGAUUUCCAGUGUUUAUUUUAUGUUUCUUUCACUUA
Brassica napus (rape) is the source of this 2800-nucleotide long non-coding RNA. RefSeq lists it as uncharacterized. Lineage: Eukaryota; Viridiplantae; Streptophyta; Magnoliopsida; Brassicales; Brassicaceae. The transcript is spliced from 5 exons. The record is from RefSeq and is a predicted model, not a curated record.